RNAcentral lists this ribosomal RNA (255 nucleotides) under uncultured bacterium. Its description in RNAcentral is "partial 16S ribosomal RNA". It matches the Rfam family "Bacterial small subunit ribosomal RNA", at positions 524 to 776 of the family's 1533-position model. The record is from RNAcentral.
GACAGAGGUGCCAAGCGUUAGGCGGAAUCACUGGGCUUAAAGCGUGUGUAGGCGGGUCGUUAAGUGCUUUGUGAAAUCCCCCGGCUCAACCGGGGAACUGCUUGGCAGUACUGGCGACCUUGAGCCACCUAGGGGCAACUGGAACGAACGGUGGAGCGGUGAAAUGCGUAGAUAAUCGUUCGGAACGCCGAAGGUGAAAACAGGUUGCUGGGGGUGUGCUGACGCUGAGACACGAAAGCCAGGGGAGCAAACGGG